This 245-nucleotide ribosomal RNA is filed under the name uncultured bacterium. Its description in RNAcentral is "partial small subunit ribosomal RNA". It matches the Rfam family "Bacterial small subunit ribosomal RNA", at positions 26 to 285 of the family's 1533-position model. The record is from RNAcentral.
AGAAUCAACGCUGGCGGCGUGCCUAACACAUGCAAGUCGCACGAGAAAGGGACUUCGGUCCUGAGUACAGUGGCGCACGGGUGAGUAACACGUGAAUAAUCUACCUCCGAGUGGGGAAUAACCUAGAGAAAUCUGGGCUAAUACCGCAUAACACCUACGAGUCAAAGCAGCAAUGCGCUUGGAGAGGAGUUCGCGGCAGAUUAGUUAGUUGGCAGGGUAAUGGCCUACCAAGACGAUGAUCUGUA